AUGGUCAGAUUGGUCCGACUGAAAAGAUGCUUCUGGAGCAGAUAUGUAAAGAGGUCUGGGAGCAUCCUGGGAAGACAGAUUUCACCAUUAACAGUCAGUAAAAGUCUUGCUACUUUAGUCUGUCUUAUUUUCCUUGCCCCGAGGGACUUCUCCUUACUUGGAAACUGCCCUGGAGUCCAACCUGUAUAUGGUGAUGAAUGGUUCCUCUACAAUAAUGUUCUCUACUAUUUAUAUACAGUUGAAUAUAUUUAUGUGUAUUUCAGUAUUCUUAUUUUCUAUAUUCUACAUCAUUUCCAGCUAUAUUCUAUGUUCCAGAUACAAUUUAUAUCUGUUCUAGUAUAUUCAAUAUACUUAAUAUCCAGCUGACUGUUCCUUUUUAUAAGUAUUGCAUCAGCAAGAGGAGGUUCCUUUGUAUGUGUAUUACAAACUUCUUGAUUCCAGUAGACAGGAUAGAUAAGUAUUCUGAGAACAUGUACUAUUUCUUUAAAGAUUUAUUUAUUUAUUUGAAAGUCAGAAUUAGAGAGAGAGGGGGAGAGAGAGAGAGAUCUUCCAUCUGAUGGUUCACUCCUCAGUUGGCCACAAUGGCCGGAGCUUGCUGAUCUGAAGCCAGGAACCAGGAGCUUCUUCCGGGUCUCCCACGCAGGAACAGGGGCCCAAGGACUUGGGCCAUCUUCUACUGCUUUCCCAGGCCAUAGCAGAGAGGUGGAUCGGAAGUGGAGCAGCCGGGUUUCCAACCGGCGCCCAUAAGAGAUGACAGCACUUCAGGCCAGGGCGUUAAUCUGCUGCGCCACAGGGAUGGCCCCUAUUAACAUUUUUUAAAGAUUUAUUUUAUUUAUUUGAAAGGAAGAGUUACUGAGAGAGAGAGAGAGAGAAAAUGAGAGAGGGAGAGACAGAGAUCUUCCAUCUGCUGGUUAGCUUCCCAAAUGGCUGCAACUGCUGGGGCUGGGCUAGGCUAAAGCCAGGAGCCUAGAACUUGUUCCGAGUCUCCCACAUGAGUUCAGGGACUCAAGCAUUCUGGGCAUCUUCUGCUGCUUUCCCAGGUACAUUAGCCAGGAACAGGAUCAGAAAUGGAGCAGCCAGGACGUAAACCGGGGCCCAUAUGGGAUGCUGAUGCUACGGGCAGAGACUUCACCCAUAUGCCACAUCCCUGGAUUUUAUCAUGUAGUUUUAAAAUUUAUUUUUAUUUAUUUGAAAGGGAGGGAGAGAGAGCGAGAGAGAUCAUCUGUCUGCUGGCUAGCUUCCUAAAUAUUCCCAAUAACUGGGUUGGCCCAGGCCAAAGUCUAGAGCCAGGAACUCAGUCAGGGUCUCCCAUAUGAGUUGCAGGGACCCAAGUACUUGAGCCAUCAUCUGCUGCCUUCCAAGGUGCAUGGAAGCAGGAAGGUAGAAUUGGAAGCAGAACUGGACUUGAACCCAGAACCUCCGGUAUGAUGCGAAUGUCCCAAUUAGAGUAUAAAUCACUGUGCCCAACACCUACCCUACUUCACGUAUUUUACAAGCUAUUUCAUUACUGAUUAUCAUGUCAUGUAUAUAGUUUAUGUUCUAUGUUUUUCAGUACAUGAAUGUCUUUAUUAAAAAUAAAAUCCAGAAUAAUAACUAGGAAAACA
This 1604-nucleotide long non-coding RNA is filed under the name Oryctolagus cuniculus (rabbit). RNAcentral describes it as "lncRNA (ENSOCUG00000030678.1)". The record is from RNAcentral. Lineage: Eukaryota; Metazoa; Chordata; Mammalia; Lagomorpha; Leporidae.